This 253-nucleotide ribosomal RNA is filed under the name uncultured bacterium. Its description in RNAcentral is "partial 16S ribosomal RNA". It matches the Rfam family "Bacterial small subunit ribosomal RNA", at positions 524 to 776 of the family's 1533-position model. The record is from RNAcentral.
UACGUAGGGGGCAAGCGUUGUCCGGAUUUAUUGGGCGUAAAGAGCGUGUAGGCGGCCAUACAGGUCCGUUGUGAAAACUGGAGGCUUAACCUCCAGACGUCGAUGGAAACCGUAUGGCUAGAGUCCGGAAGAGGAGAGUGGAAUUCCUGGUGUAGCGGUGAAAUGCGCAGAUAUCAGGAAGAACACCCGUGGCGAAGGCGGCUCUCUGGGACGGUACUGACGCUGCGACGCGAAAGCGUGGGGAGCGAACAGG